AGGAUGAACGCUGGCGGUCUGCUUAACACAUGCAAGUCGAACGGAGUAGAAAUACUUAGUGGCGGACGGGUGAGUAACGCGUGAGAAUCUACCUUCAGGACGGAGACAACAGUUGGAAACGACUGCCAACCCCCGAUGUACUGAAAAGGCAAAUAUUUAUAGCCUGAAGAAGAGCUCGCGUCCGAUUAGCUAGUUGGAGAGGUAAAAGCUCACCAAGGCGACGAUCGGUAGCUGGUCUGAGAGGACGAUCAGCCACACUGGGACUGAGACACGGCCCAGACUCCUACGGGAGGCAGCAGUGGGGAAUUUUCCGCAAUGGGCGAAAGCCUGACGGAGCAAGACCGCGUGGGGGAAGAAGGCUCUUGGGUUGUAGACCCCCUUUUUCUCUGGGAAGAACGCAAUGACGGUACCAGAGGAAUCAGCAUCGGCUAACUCCGUGCCAGCAGCCGC
Molecule: ribosomal RNA, 450 nt
Filed under: uncultured bacterium
Lineage: Bacteria
Description: SSU rRNA
Rfam family: Bacterial small subunit ribosomal RNA
Source: RNAcentral